Molecule: non-coding RNA, 33 nt
Filed under: unclassified sequences
Description: DUF805b RNA
Rfam family: DUF805b RNA
About the family: Bacteroidetes, Chlorobi (1 example), Proteobacteria. Lineage (Flavobacteria)
Source: RNAcentral
UAUAGGGAAGCCGAAAACUAAAAAGAGUAGGCG